CCUACGGGAGGCAGCAGUGGGGAAUAUUGCACAAUGGGGGAAACCCUGAUGCAGCGACGCCGCGUGAGUGAAGAAGUAUUUCGGUAUGUAAAGCUCUAUCAGCAGGGAAGAAAAUGACGGUACCUGAUCAAGAAGACCCGGCUAACUACGUGCCAGCAGCCGCGGUCAUACGUAGGGGGCAAGCGUUAACCGGAUUUACUGGGUGUAAAGGGAGCGGAGACGGCAGCGCAAGACUGGAGUGAAAUGCCCGGGCUUAACCCCGGAACUGCUGUGAAAACUGUGCCGCUAGAGUGCGGGAGAGGUAAGUGGAAUUCCUAGUGUAGCAGUGAAAUGCGUAGAUAUUAGGAGGAACACCAGUGGCGGAGGCGGCUUACUGGAAUGUAACUGACGUUGAGGCUCGAAAGCGUGGGGAGCAAACAGGAUUAGAUACCCCAGUAGUC
RNAcentral lists this ribosomal RNA (440 nucleotides) under uncultured bacterium. Its description in RNAcentral is "partial 16S ribosomal RNA". It matches the Rfam family "Bacterial small subunit ribosomal RNA", at positions 338 to 795 of the family's 1533-position model. The record is from RNAcentral.